Molecule: long non-coding RNA, 3217 nt
Filed under: Sarcophilus harrisii (Tasmanian devil)
Lineage: Eukaryota; Metazoa; Chordata; Mammalia; Dasyuromorphia; Dasyuridae
Description: lncRNA (ENSSHAG00000028428.1)
Source: RNAcentral
CUCCAUUAGAAAUGAUUUGGUUGAUCUCGUUGCUGAGGAUGGCCUGGUCCAUCAGAACUGGUCAUCAUAUAGUAUUGUUGUUGAAGUAUAUAAUGAUCUCCUGGUCCUGCUCAUUUCACUCAGCAUCAGUUCGUAUACACAUAUAUAUUCUUAUAAAGAAUUUAUAAAAAAAAUUUUUCUUGUUGUUAGUCAUAUUCAUGACCCUAUUUGGACUUUUCUUAGCAAAGACACUGAAGUAGUUUGCCAUUUCCUUCUCCUGAUCAUUUUACAGACUUGUCCAGGAUCACACAAUUAAUAAGUGUCUGAGACCAGAUUUGAUAUCAGAAAUCCAAAUGCAAAAAAUAGUAAGAUAACACAUAUAUAGCACAUAUGUACCUAUAUACUCAGAAGGAUUAGUCUUCCUGACUUUAGGUCCCAUUCACAGUGUCACCCUGCCCCACGACAUACAACUACAAUAAUGUAAAUGGAAACAACAACAAGACAAAUAAAAAUAAAUAUUUUGAAAUGAUAGUGAACUAAACUUGAUCCCGAUAGAAGAGAUAUCAAAAUGCAAUUCCCUGCUUUGCAAACAUGGAGGAUUUGGAAUGUGAAACGCUACAUAUAAUGUCAGACCUUGUUGGUGGGUUAGCUAGUUUUGUUGAACUAUUUCACUUUUUCAUUUUUUACUAUGGGAAUGAAUCUCUGGCAAGGAAUAAAGAUAUGUUGAUGAAUAUAUGUGGUGUAAAAACGAAAUAUACCAAUAAAAAUUAGAAAAUUAAAUUUCAAAAUAAUUUUUAAAUGAAGAUGUUAGAUGACAUGUCUUCUGUAAUAUCUUUUGGUCUUUUCCUCUUUUUUGAGAAUACUAUAAAUUUAAAUUAGUGGCACACAAAAGAGCAAGAUGACUUUAUUAAGCAAAUAAGCUCUAUUCUACCUUAAAAAGUGAAACUGGGAGUCAAAGGGAAAAGGGGAGGUAUUGAAAGUAGGCAACCCAAAGGAGGACUAUCCUCUAUUUAAUAAGCAAUCAAUGUUGUAGGGGAACAAGCCCCAAACUAACUGAACACUGCCUUAGAAAUCAGAGGACCCAAUUUAAAUCCCAAUUCUAGCACUUACUACCUGAGAAACUCUGAGAAUAUCACAUCAGUGUAAUUUUCUGAAGUUUUAAUUUUUUCCUCAAUAAAAAUCACUGGAUAGGAUCAAAGUUGAGCUUAAAGUCCUUCCUAGCUCCAAUCUACAAUCAAUUAAAUAAAUAAAAUUAAAUAAACAUUUAAUAAUGUUUAUUUAAUUUUAGAACAACCACUGUGUGCUAGAUUUCUAGCAAUACAAAGGCAAAAUCAAGAUAGCCCCUGCCCUGUAAGAGCUAACAGUCUACUGGGGAAAAACAACAUAUGCAUCCUCAAAUGGCUAAGUAACCUCAUAAAUAUAGAUGUUCCCCACAGUGAUACAGAUGACUACUCCUGCCUGUUUUCUCAUAUUUUGUUAGAUCUUAUCCACAUCCUUUCACAAACUCAACAUAGGAGAUUCACUCAAAAUUCAGGAUACCUUCUUUGAUUUCACUAGACAUUUCACUUGACACUUGACAUUGUACCAGGGGAACAAUUUAGUUUCUCAUCUAUCAUCCUUUACUCAUGCCAGGUGACCAGUUCAUGAUUUCUUUCCCUUCUUAGUACUAUGCCUGGCAAAUAGCAGACAUUUAGAAAAUUAAAAUAAAAAAUUCUUGUUAAGUAAUUUCUAAAGGAAGAGCAUAGAUCUAAUAUAAAUGAAUGACAGUUUGUUAACAAUUAGGAAAUCCAUAGAACACAAUGAAAGGCAACCAUAGAAUGGGAAAGGAGUACCAGUCUUUGAAUUAGACAGCUAAUGAUAGAGAAUCAUGGGGGUAAAUUAUUUGAUCCUAUUUGGACUACCUAACUCACAGGGAAUAAUAUAAGGAAAAUACUUUAUAAACUAUGAAGCACAUGUAAAUGUGAACUGCUGUCACUAAUUCUAACCUUUCAUCAUCUCUAGUCAGCUGUAGCACCACAAGAUGGAAUAGAUGGUGCCCCAGGAACAAGUCCUAUAUCAAGAGGUCUACAGCUAAGCUCUGCCCUUUCAUUGUGCUUAGGCUCACUGCAGCUGUCAUCACAUCCCUCCUUGAGCUUUAUGGAAAGCACAUCAUCCAUAGUUUUUUAUCCUCCCCACCCACAGAUGACAUUUAUAUCUUACAUUGCUACUGUAACACAGAACUUACAAAGUCCUUCUACAUGCAUUAUCUCAUUGAAACUUAUUAUACUCAUGAUAGUAUCUCAUAAUACUUAGUGAUAAAACAAGUGUGAUCACCUAUAAUUUGCAGAUAGAGAAAUUGAAGUUUAGAGAGGGCUAAGAGAUUUUUUUUAUGAUUAUAUAACAAUUCAGAGCUCAAUUUUAUAAGAUCAAAGGUCUGGAGUUUGAAAAUAUCUUAAAGUAUAUCUAGUUUGACAGCUUCAUUUUAUAAAUAAGGGAAAUAAAGAUCCAUUAAGCUAAAUGACAGUCAUAGUCACAUAAGAACUGAGUGUGAAGAGCACCUAGUGAUACCAAAUGCUUGGCUUUUUAUUAUUAUUAGACGUCAAUCAAUAGGAGUCACUUUCAAAUGAUUUGGUUCUGUUAUUUUGGGUAGGAAGCUAAGGGAAGGGAAUGGAGGAAGAGAACAACUCUUAAGACUCACAUAAGCUGCCGAAAUUCCCAGUCACAUUUUCUACUGUCAGAGAGUAGAAAGAGCAACAUUUAGAGAGCAGUAAGUCCAGCAGAGAGCAGCAUGAUGACAUCAAUAGAAGACAUCAGCAGCUUUGUAGUGUCAUGGGCAUAAGUUGUCCAUCCAAGGCUAUGCCCUGGUCACACACAUUCCCUGAAUAUCUUCCUUCAUGUAGGUGUGCUGAUCACAUAUGUUCCACAUAUGUGGAUGCCAGAGUUUAUGGGGAAAUGUUCUAUUGUUAUUUUAUUUACAUUGCUACUUAAUUAAAUGUAUUUUUAUAAACAAUAUCCAAUGUUUAAUUGAUCAAACACAUUGGUAGAGAUCCACAAAGCCUGAAGAAGACUCCUAGAAAAAUGCCUAAAACCUAAUUGAGCAUCAGAGUAAUGGAAGAACCCCAGAUGUUCUCCUUUAUAGGUUAAAACAAAAGAUCUGAUGCAUCUCUGAGUCCUCUUGUCCGUUAACCAACUUUAAAUAUUCGUUUUUAAAAGAUGACAAACCAGGAGCAGUUAGGUGGUGCACUGGAUAGAGCAUCAU